Molecule: ribosomal RNA, 644 nt
Filed under: uncultured beta proteobacterium
Lineage: Bacteria; Pseudomonadati; Pseudomonadota; Betaproteobacteria
Description: bacterial SSU rRNA
Rfam family: Bacterial small subunit ribosomal RNA
Source: RNAcentral
CAAGUCGAACGGGGGUGGGGGCAACUCCACUUCAGUGGCGAACGGGUGAGUAAUGCAUCGGAACGUGUCCCGUAGUGGGGGAUAACGCCGCGAAAGCGGCGCUAAUACCGCAUACGCUCUGUGGAGGAAAGCCGGGGACCCGCAAGGGCCUGGUGCUAGGGGAGCGGCCGAUGUCCGAUUAGCUAGUUGGUGGGGUAAUGGCUUACCAAGGCAACGAUCGGUAGCUGGUCUGAGAGGAUGAUCAGCCACACUGGGACUGAGACACGGCCCAGACUCCUACGGGAGGCAGCAGUGGGGAAUUUUGGACAAUGGGGGCAACCCUGAUCCAGCCAUGCCGCGUGCGGGAAGAAGGCCUUCGGGUUGUAAACCGCUUUUAGCCGGGAAGAAAAGGCGCGGGCUAAUACCCUGUGUUUUUGACGGUACCGGCGGAAUAAGCACCGGCUAACUACGUGCCAGCAGCCGCGGUAAUACGUAGGGUGCGAGCGUUAAUCGGAAUUACUGGGCGUAAAGCGUGCGCAGGCGGUUCGUUGUGUCGGCGGUGAAAGCCCCGGGCUUAACCUGGGAAUGGCCGUUGAAACUGGCGAACUGGAGUGUGGCAGAGGGGGGUGGAAUUCCGCGUGUAGCAUUGAAAUGCUUAAAGAUGC